This 402-nucleotide ribosomal RNA is filed under the name Boeckella bergi. RNAcentral describes it as "partial 16S ribosomal RNA". The record is from RNAcentral. Lineage: Eukaryota; Metazoa; Arthropoda; Copepoda; Calanoida; Centropagidae.
UCGCCUGUUUAUCAAAAACAUCACUUAAAUUUUAAGCUUUACCUGCUCAAUGAUAAUAAUUAAAUAGCCAAACUAUGCUAAGGUAGCAUAAUAAUUUGCUUUAUAAUUAAAAGAUGGAAUGAAUGGUAUUUCUAAAAGUACUUAUUUUAUUCUUAAAUUUAACUUUUUUAGAGUUGAAAAUUACUUUAUUAAUUUUUUAGACGAUAAGACCCUAUGAAGCUUUAUUAAUAAAGUCAAUUAACAAUAGUAAAUUUAAUUUUUUUGGGGCAAAAAAAAAAUUUUUUAUUUUAAAUUAAAUUAAUAAUGAUCUUUUUGAAUUUUAAGAAAAAGCUACUCUAGGGAUAACAGCAUAAUUUUUAUAAAAGUUCUUAUUAAAAUAAAAGUUUGUGACCUCGAUGUUGA